CCUCUCUAUUCUGGCUGUACAAAGUGUAUCAGCAUUGGAUUGGUAGGAAAACUUAGGACAAAAAGCCAGAGAUAGGGAUGUAACUUGUCUAAAAAGAAGAAGGAAAGUCAGCCCAGAGGGUCGCCUGCAGGCUGGGCUAAUUGCCAAGGCAAAGAGGGUGAGUGCUGGUGUCCAAGGGGCAGGUGGAUGAAGAGGAAGAGAAAGAGAUUGUCUUGCCUGCAAGAGCCAAGAUGAAGAUGCUAACAUUCAGAGAUGCUUACUGGCUGAGCUUGGAUUAGGCAGCGAGUAGCUCAGCUUGGACCUAACCCUUGUUUUUCUGACUCCAAAACGAAAGUCCUCAGCCCUCUCGAGCAUCAACCUCAGUAUGUUGUGGGAUUCUCAUUUCUCACUGUGACCCAAAAGAAUAACCUAAGUGAGUUUCCUGCAGAUGCUGCUUAUUAAAGCUUCUGAAGUCUAGUUUCCAGGUGAACCAAACAUUCUGAUGUGAAAAUCCUGCUACAACCAAAAAGUAAAAGGUGGAGCCUUGGGAAGGUAAUUAGGUCAUGAAGGAGAAACUCUCAUGAAUGGAUUUAGUGGCAUUAUAAAAGAGGCUCCAGAUCCCUUGUCCUCUCACCAUGUGAGGACACAAUGAAAAGCCACCAGCUCUGAACCAGGAUUUGGACCCACAUCAGAAUGCAACCACGCUGGUGCCUUGACCUUGGACUUCGGAGUUUCCAAAACUAUUAGAAAUAAAUUUCCGUUCUUUAUAAGCUA
Molecule: long non-coding RNA, 753 nt
Organism: Eptesicus fuscus (big brown bat)
Lineage: Eukaryota; Metazoa; Chordata; Mammalia; Chiroptera; Vespertilionidae
Exons: 4
Source: RefSeq, a predicted model, not a curated record